This 468-nucleotide ribosomal RNA is filed under the name uncultured bacterium. Its description in RNAcentral is "bacterial SSU rRNA". It matches the Rfam family "Bacterial small subunit ribosomal RNA", at positions 39 to 524 of the family's 1533-position model. The record is from RNAcentral.
GGAUAGCUGCAGAUGCUUACACAUGCAAGUCGACUCGAGUCCUCGGACUUGGGUGGCGCACGGGUGAGUAACGCGUAAAGAACUUGCCUCUUAGACCGGGACAACAUCUGGAAACGGAUGCUAAUACCGGAUAUUAUGGUUUUUUCGCAUGGAGGAAUCAUGAAAGCUAGAUGCGCUAAGAGAGAGCUUUGCGUCCCAUUAGCUGGUUGGUGAGGUAACGGCCCACCAAGGCAAUGAUGGGUAGCCGGCCUGAGAGGGUGAACGGCCACAAGGGGACUGAGACACGGCCCUUACUCCUACGGGAGGCAGCAGUGGGGAAUAUUGGACAAUGGACCACAAGUCUGAUCCAGCAAUUCUGUGUGCACGAUGACGUUUUUCGGAAUGUAAAGUGCUUUCAGUCGGGAAGAAGUCAGUGACGGUACCGACAGAAGAAGCGACGGCUAAAUACGUGCCAGCAGCCGCGGUAAU